RNAcentral lists this ribosomal RNA (1367 nucleotides) under Staphylococcus aureus. RNAcentral describes it as "bacterial SSU rRNA". It matches the Rfam family "Bacterial small subunit ribosomal RNA", at positions 181 to 1533 of the family's 1533-position model. Lineage: Bacteria; Bacillati; Bacillota; Bacilli; Caryophanales; Staphylococcaceae. The record is from RNAcentral.
UUGAACCGCAUGGUUCAAAAGUGAAAGACGGUCUUGCUGUCACUUAUAGAUGGAUCCGCGCUGCAUUAGCUAGUUGGUAAGGUAACGGCUUACCAAGGCAACGAUGCAUAGCCGACCUGAGAGGGUGAUCGGCCACACUGGAACUGAGACACGGUCCAGACUCCUACGGGAGGCAGCAGUAGGGAAUCUUCCGCAAUGGGCGAAAGCCUGACGGAGCAACGCCGCGUGAGUGAUGAAGGUCUUCGGAUCGUAAAACUCUGUUAUUAGGGAAGAACAUAUGUGUAAGUAACUGUGCACAUCUUGACGGUACCUAAUCAGAAAGCCACGGCUAACUACGUGCCAGCAGCCGCGGUAAUACGUAGGUGGCAAGCGUUAUCCGGAAUUAUUGGGCGUAAAGCGCGCGUAGGCGGUUUUUUAAGUCUGAUGUGAAAGCCCACGGCUCAACCGUGGAGGGUCAUUGGAAACUGGAAAACUUGAGUGCAGAAGAGGAAAGUGGAAUUCCAUGUGUAGCGGUGAAAUGCGCAGAGAUAUGGAGGAACACCAGUGGCGAAGGCGACUUUCUGGUCUGUAACUGACGCUGAUGUGCGAAAGCGUGGGGAUCAAACAGGAUUAGAUACCCUGGUAGUCCACGCCGUAAACGAUGAGUGCUAAGUGUUAGGGGGUUUCCGCCCCUUAGUGCUGCAGCUAACGCAUUAAGCACUCCGCCUGGGGAGUACGACCGCAAGGUUGAAACUCAAAGGAAUUGACGGGGACCCGCACAAGCGGUGGAGCAUGUGGUUUAAUUCGAAGCAACGCGAAGAACCUUACCAAAUCUUGACAUCCUUUGACAACUCUAGAGAUAGAGCCUUCCCCUUCGGGGGGCAAAGUGACAGGUGGUGCAUGGUUGUCGUCAGCUCGUGUCGUGAGAUGUUGGGUUAAGUCCCGCAACGAGCGCAACCCUUAAGCUUAGUUGCCAUCAUUAAGUUGGGCACUCUAAGUUGACUGCCGGUGACAAACCGGAGGAAGGUGGGGAUGACGUCAAAUCAUCAUGCCCCUUAUGAUUUGGGCUACACACGUGCUACAAUGGACAAUACAAAGGGCAGCGAAACCGCGAGGUCAAGCAAAUCCCAUAAAGUUGUUCUCAGUUCGGAUUGUAGUCUGCAACUCGACUACAUGAAGCUGGAAUCGCUAGUAAUCGUAGAUCAGCAUGCUACGGUGAAUACGUUCCCGGGUCUUGUACACACCGCCCGUCACACCACGAGAGUUUGUAACACCCGAAGCCGGUGGAGUAACCUUUUAGGAGCUAGCCGUCGAAGGUGGGACAAAUGAUUGGGGUGAAGUCGUAACAAGGUAGCCGUAUCGGAAGGUGCGGCUGGAUCACCUCCUUU